GGGAAACAGGUUAAUAUUCCUGUACUUGGUGUUACUGCGAAGGGGGGACGGAGAAGGCUAUGUUGGCCGGGCGACGGUUGUCCCGGUUUAAGCGUGUAGGCUGGUUUUCCAGGCAAAUCCGGAAAAUCAAGGCUGAGGCGUGAUGACGAGGCACUACGGUGCUGAAGCAACAAAUGCCCUGCUUCCAGGAAAAGCCUCUAAGCAUCAGGUAACAUCAAAUCGUACCCCAAACCGACACAGGUGGUCAGGUAGAGAAUACCAAGGCGCUUGAGAGAACUCGGGUGAAGGAACUAGGCAAAAUGGUGCCGUAACUUCGGGAGAAGGCACGCUGAUAUGUAGGUGAAGCGACUUGCUCGUGGAGCUGAAAUCAGUCGAAGAUACCAGCUGGCUGCAACUGUUUAUUAAAAACACAGCACUGUGCAAACACGAAAGUGGACGUAUACGGUGUGACGCCUGCCCGGUGCCGGAAGGUUAAUUGAUGGGGUUAGCGGUAACGCGAAGCUCUUGAUCGAAGCCCCGGUAAACGGCGGCCGUAACUAUAACGGUCCUAAGGUAGCGAAAUUCCUUGUCGGGUAAGUUCCGACCUGCACGAAUGGCGUAAUGAUGGCCAGGCUGUCUCCACCCGAGACUCAGUGAAAUUGAACUCGCUGUGAAGAUGCAGUGUACCCGCGGCAAGACGGAAAGACCCCGUGAACCUUUACUAUAGCUUGACACUGAACAUUGAGCCUUGAUGUGUAGGAUAGGUGGGAGGCUUUGAAGUGUGGACGCCAGUCUGCAUGGAGCCGACCUUGAAAUACCACCCUUUAAUGUUUGAUGUUCUAACGUUGGCCCCUGAUCGGGGUUGCGGACAGUGUCUGGUGGGUAGUUUGACUGGGGCGGUCUCCUCCUAAAGAGUAACGGAGGAGCACGAAGGUUGGCUAAUCCUGGUCGGACAUCAGGAGGUUAGUGCAAUGGCAUAAGCCAGCUUGACUGCGAGCGUGACGGCGCGAGCAGGUGCGAAAGCAGGUCAUAGUGAUCCGGUGGUUCUGAAUGGAAGGGCCAUCGCUCAACGGAUAAAAGGUACUCCGGGGAUAACAGGCUGAUACCGCCCAAGAGUUCAUAUCGACGGCGGUGUUUGGCACCUCGAUGUCGGCUCAUCACAUCCUGGGGCUGAAGUAGGUCCCAAGGGUAUGGCUGUUCGCCAUUUAAAGUGGUACGCGAGCUGGGUUUAGAACGUCGUGAGACAGUUCGGUCCCUAUCUGCCGUGGGCGCUGGAGAACUGAGGGGGGCUGCUCCUAGUACGAGAGGACCGGAGUGGACGCAUCACUGGUGUUCGGGUUGUCAUGCCAAUGGCACUGCCCGGUAGCUAAAUGCGGAAGAGAUAAGUGCUGAAAGCAUCUAAGCACGAAACUUGCCCCGAGAUGAGUUCUCCCUGACUCCUUGAGAGUCCUGAAGGAACGUUGAAGACGACGACGUUGAUAGGCCGGGUGUGUAAGCGCAGCGAUGCGUUGAGCUAACCGGUACUAAUGAACCGUGAGG
RNAcentral lists this ribosomal RNA (1518 nucleotides) under Escherichia coli. RNAcentral's name for it is "partial 23S ribosomal RNA". It matches the Rfam family "Bacterial large subunit ribosomal RNA", at positions 1420 to 2915 of the family's 2925-position model. Lineage: Bacteria; Pseudomonadati; Pseudomonadota; Gammaproteobacteria; Enterobacterales; Enterobacteriaceae. The record is from RNAcentral.